CCGGCAAACUGCUCAGUAACACGUGGAUAAUCUAACCUUGAGUAAGGGAUAACUUCGGGAAACUGAAGGUAAUACCUUAUAAUUGCUUAAAACUGGAAUGUUUUUGCAAUAAAAGUUACGACGCUCAAGGAUGAGUCUGCGACCUAUCAGGUAGUAGGUGGUGUAAUGGACCACCUAGCCUCAGACGGGUACGGGCCCUGGGAGGGGUAGCCCGGAGAUGGACUCUGAGACAUAAGUCCAGGCCCUACGGGGCGCAGCAGGCGCGAACACUGUGCAAUGCGCGAAAGCGCGACACGGGGAGCUUGAGUGUCUUGGCAUAGCCAAGACUUUUCUCAUUCCUAAAAAGCAUGAGGAAUAAGUGCUGGGUAAGACGGGUGCCAGCCGCCGCGGUAACACCCGCAGCACUAGUAGUGGUCACUUUUAUUGAGCCUAAAGCGUUCGUAGCCGGUUUUGUAAAUCUUCAGAUAAAGCCUGAAGCUUAACUCCAGAAAGUCUGAAGAGACUGCAAGACUUGAGAUCGGGUGAGGUUAAACGUACUUUCAGGGUAGGGGUAAAAUCCUGUAAUCCCGGAAGGACGACCAGUGGCGAAAGCGUUUAACUAGAACGAAUCUGACGGUAAGGAACGAAGGCUAGGGUAGCAAACCGGAUUAGAUACCCGGGUAGUCCUAGCUGUAAACGCUGCCCACUUGGUGUUGCUUCUCCGUUGAGGGGGAGCAGUGCCGUAGCGAAGGUGUUAAGUGGGUCACUUGGGGAGUACGGCCGCAAGGCUGAAACUUAAAGGAAUUGGCGGGGGAGCACCGCAACGGGAGGAGCGUGCGGUUUAAUUGGAUUCAACGCCGGAAAACUCACCGGGAGCGACCUUCGGAUGAGGGUCAACCUGACGAAUUUACCCGAUAGAAGGAGAGGUGGUGCAUGGCCGUCGUCAGCUCGUACCGUAGGGCGUUCACUUAAGUGUGAUAACGAGCAAGACCCCCAUCUCUAAUUGCCAGACUGUCUUCGCGGGCAGAGGCACUUUAGAGGGACCGCCAGCGCUAAGCUGGAGGAAGGAGGGGUCGACGGCAGGUCAGUACGCCCCGAAUCUCCCGGGCUACACGCGCGCUACAAAGGACGGGACAAUGAGUUGCAACCUCGGAAGGGGAAGCUAACCUCGAAACCCGUUCGUAGUCAGGACUGAGGGCUGUAACUCGCCCUCACGAAUGUGGAUUCCGUAGUAAUCGUAGGUCAACAGCCUACGGUGAAUAUGCCCCUGCUCCUUGCACACACCGCCC
This 1268-nucleotide ribosomal RNA is filed under the name uncultured archaeon. Its description in RNAcentral is "16S ribosomal RNA". It matches the Rfam family "Archaeal small subunit ribosomal RNA", at positions 78 to 1351 of the family's 1478-position model. The record is from RNAcentral.